This 21-nucleotide non-coding RNA is filed under the name Caenorhabditis elegans. The record is from RNAcentral. Lineage: Eukaryota; Metazoa; Nematoda; Chromadorea; Rhabditida; Rhabditidae.
UCAAAAACAUGAUAAUUGAAG